UACGUAGGGGGCUAGCGUUGUCCGGAUUUAUUGGGCGUAAAGAGCUCGUAGGCGGCUUGUCGCGUCGUUCGUGAAAACCCGGGGCUCAACUCCGGGCUUGCGGGCGAUACGGGCAGGCUAGAGUUCGGUAGGGGAGACUGGAAUUCCUGGUGUAGCGGUGAAAUGCGCAGAUAUCAGGAGGAACACCGGUGGCGAAGGCGGGUCUCUGGGCCGAUACUGACGCUGAGGAGCGAAAGCGUGGGGAGCGAACAGG
This 253-nucleotide ribosomal RNA is filed under the name uncultured bacterium. Its description in RNAcentral is "partial 16S ribosomal RNA". It matches the Rfam family "Bacterial small subunit ribosomal RNA", at positions 524 to 776 of the family's 1533-position model. The record is from RNAcentral.